GUGGUCCAUGGUGGAAAAAGAAGGAGGGGGCACCUCUUGUCUUGCUCUAUUUGGAUUUUCCUUGACUAGGUAUUUGACCUAGACAAGGAUUCUUCUUAUCUCUUUAUUUAAGAUGAAUUUCUUCUUAAAAUUUUUAUGGAUUAUAGAACAUUAAGAGACCUUUGGGGCAUGUAAAAAUCAGAGAGAAAGAGUAUUAGGGUGUGGAGAUAUAAUAGGCACAAAACUA
Molecule: long non-coding RNA, 226 nt
Filed under: Elaeis guineensis (African oil palm)
Lineage: Eukaryota; Viridiplantae; Streptophyta; Magnoliopsida; Arecales; Arecaceae
Description: long non-coding RNA (EGUI_LNC063677)
Source: RNAcentral